This is a long non-coding RNA of Neopsephotus bourkii (Bourke's parrot), 419 nucleotides long. RefSeq lists it as uncharacterized. The record is from RefSeq and is a predicted model, not a curated record. Lineage: Eukaryota; Metazoa; Chordata; Aves; Psittaciformes; Psittacidae. The transcript has 2 exons.
AUGCAGGUACCCCACCGUGCCACGGCAGUGUGGGGGCCAGCGUACCCUCACACCCCCAGUGCAGCGCAGCCUGCACCUCCAGCCGGUCCAGCCCAGCGCCCCACAGACACUCCAACCAUCCACCCUGCUCCCCAGCAAGCAGGACAAGAUAGAGCUGCCGGGGCAGGACAUCCGCAGGGCUGGCCCCUGCCCCUCAGCCCCAGGCACCACUGGCCCACUGGAACACAGGUCAGCCCCAUCCCAGAGCCACCUUCUCCAGGUACACCGGCCCCACCCACCCCUCCUGCCCCGCAGGAUGGAUGCAGCAACCCGGCAGCCGGGCAGGACUGGCGGUCACCGGCUGAAUCCCAGUGCCCUGGCACCCCAGCAGGCGAGGAAGUAGCUCCCAGCAGCAGCAAUAAAUGGUGAUGCUCAGCAAA